RNAcentral lists this ribosomal RNA (502 nucleotides) under uncultured bacterium. RNAcentral's name for it is "partial 16S ribosomal RNA". It matches the Rfam family "Bacterial small subunit ribosomal RNA", at positions 28 to 507 of the family's 1533-position model. The record is from RNAcentral.
GACGAACGCUGGCGGCGUGCUUAACGCAUGCAAGUCGAACGGUGAAGGGGUCUGCUUUUGUGGGCCCUGGAUGAGUGGCGAACGGGUGAGUAACACGUGAGUAACCUGCCCCCUUCUUCUGGAUAACCGCAUGAAAGUGUGGCUAAUACGGGAUAUUCUGGGUCUGUCGCAUGAUGGGUCUGGGAAAGAUUGCGCCUUUGGGUGUUUUUGGUGGGGGAUGGGCUCGCGGCCUAUCAGCUUGUUGGUGGGGUGAUGGCCUACCAAGGCGGUGACGGGUAGCCGGCCUGAGAGGGUGGACGGUCACACUGGGACUGAGACACGGCCCAGACUCCUACGGGAGGCAGCAGUGGGGAAUAUUGCACAAUGGGCGCAAGCCUGAUGCAGCGACGCCGCGUGAGGGAUGGAGGCCUUCGGGUUGUAAACCUCUUUCGCCAGUGAAGCAGGCCUGCUCCUUGUGGGUGGGUUGACGGUAGCUGGAGAAGAAGCGCCGGCUAACUACGUG